UGGGUGUGGCUUCUGGAGUGGGUGUACUCCUGGUAGGAUUGACAGCUGUCUGUCUCUGCAGGAGGUCCAAGAAAACCAAUUCUCAGAGACCUACAUCCAGACAGGAUGAUCACAGACAAUAUGAUUUGGUGUCUAUGGGAGCGGUGAGCAGCGGAGUCAUGGUGAUUAUUCUACAUUACAGUGGAAUCUGUACACAUGUACCCCUCUGACAGAGGAGGCUGGUGGGAUGAGUUAUAGGAGGACAGGCUCAUUGUAAUGGCUGGAAUGGAAUUAAUGGG
Long non-coding RNA from Oncorhynchus nerka (sockeye salmon), 278 nucleotides. RefSeq lists it as uncharacterized. The transcript is spliced from 4 exons. Lineage: Eukaryota; Metazoa; Chordata; Actinopteri; Salmoniformes; Salmonidae. The record is from RefSeq and is a predicted model, not a curated record.